Molecule: microRNA precursor, 75 nt
Filed under: Mus pahari (shrew mouse)
Lineage: Eukaryota; Metazoa; Chordata; Mammalia; Rodentia; Muridae
Description: microRNA 6905 (MGP_PahariEiJ_G0007245.1)
Source: RNAcentral
GGGAGACUGGGCAGGUUGGGUUGAAUUACUUGAUCAUUUAGUCACUUAAAUAACCUAACCCUAUUUGUCGGAUAG